Long non-coding RNA from Frieseomelitta varia, 187 nucleotides. RefSeq lists it as uncharacterized. Lineage: Eukaryota; Metazoa; Arthropoda; Insecta; Hymenoptera; Apidae. The transcript is spliced from 2 exons. The record is from RefSeq and is a predicted model, not a curated record.
AGCACGUUACACGUGCAUUCGGUAACCUGGAUCUCGCCCCGACGAGUGGUCGGUUCGUUUCAUCGACCAACGAUACACGGAGCUCUCUUCGUUUCGUCGAAACGAAGAGGAGGAAGCAAGGGACAAACGUUUAGGAUAUUGUUCAGGCGAAAUUAAAGACAAAAAGAAAAAAGAAAAAGAGAAGAAA